Long non-coding RNA from Cottoperca gobio, 1265 nucleotides. Lineage: Eukaryota; Metazoa; Chordata; Actinopteri; Perciformes; Bovichtidae. The record is from Ensembl.
UUGGAGGUCAGUCAAAGUGUAUAAAUACCUGAAAGUGAUGUCUACGUCAGCUCCCUGCGCCGUCCAGUUUAUUCGUUAAAUAUUCAAUAAAUCAAUUCACUCCAUUUAUUACUUCUAAUAAUGGUGAAAUGUGAGGAUAACUUACUGCUAAACCAUCGCACGUCAGGAGCGGAGUCUCCUCAGACUUUGAAGAGUCAUCAAGGAGAAGGUGGAGGCACGGAAAGAUGAAGACAGAGAAAGGAAUCCAGAAAAUAGUGAGAGAAGGACCAUAAAGGACUUGGCUUGCGAACCAGAGGGUCACCAGUUCAAGUCCCCGAACGGACAAAGUGUAGACUGGUACUCAGCGAGGAGCCGGUCCAUGUCGACACUGUUCCCCUGCCUCUGUAUAGUAGCUGCCAACAACUGCUCAUUCUGGGUUGGGUUAAAUGCAGAGUCUGAAUUGCUCUGUGUGUUGCGCAUGUGGGACAAUAAAUGCAUGAGAAAUAAAUAUCUUUAUCUCUAAGAUGUAAAUCUGAAACUAACAAUAAAGCCGGACUGUCUAAUUUCAUGAACCAGCACAUACCCGUUGGACUAUACAGACUGAAUUAUACUUAUAUUGUAUCAAUAAAAAAGAAAUCCAUGUACAAGGGAAACGCCCUGUCACUUUUUAUCAGAGUUAAGUGAGUCAGCAAGCAAGUUAGACUCGUUUAUAGUUCAGUAUCUCCUCAUACCAGGCACAUCCAGUCAUCCCUGAGGGAAUGUUUUCGUGGUGUGAUCAUCAGUAACUGCGUGGAAUGUGCUUCUCUUAUGAAAAACAAGCCUAGCUCUACUUUAUGUGGCUGAAGUACUGUAUUCAUAAACAUAGAUGGUAUAAGGAUACAACAUGUAGGAAAGUUCAGCACAUAAAAUACUAAAGUCUGUGUCAUGACUCACCUCGUUGUUGCUUACAGCAGAAGUAUCUGAUGUAAGGAUAAAUACAAUGUGCACAAUUCAUCAAUAUGAAAUGAAAGAUAUAAAGUUUUACUAUAAGUUGUCCUGAUAUAAUCACAUCACAAUGUGUCAACAAGGGCAACAUACACACAGAUAUGAACACUCCUGCUUUGAUAGGCAUGUCAAUAAACAGCAGCAGCUAGAAGUAUUUAUUCAUGAUGUAAUCCUUGUGUGAACCCCACUGUACACUACUUAUACAGAAGUCAAUGAUGCCACUUAGCUGAAUGUCGUUGCUGCUGCUUUUAUUUCUAAAAGCUUCUCAUGACAUCUUUAAUCUUCACUGCAUCUCAUUUUAC